Molecule: unclassified non-coding RNA, 769 nt
Filed under: Arabidopsis thaliana (thale cress)
Lineage: Eukaryota; Viridiplantae; Streptophyta; Magnoliopsida; Brassicales; Brassicaceae
Description: 3' external transcribed spacer
Source: RNAcentral
CACUCCAAAAAAAAAAAAAAAAAAAAAAAACAAUCCCCAAUUCUACACAAGUGUUUCUACACUAACAAAGCAACAGCCUCCUUAACGAAUUCCCAACUUACAUGAGCUCGCCUCUCGAGGUUAAAUGUUAUUACUUGGUAAGAUUCCUGACCUCGCCAAGUGUUUUGAAAACCCGCAACGCUCGCAAAGGUGGAUAGUGAGAAUAAUAAGUGAAGAGACAGACUUUGUCCAAAACGCCCACCACGAAGGUGCAUAAGGAGAAGAGUAAGUCAAGAGAUAGACUUGUCCAAAAGAAACGGAAGAGAAAGCUUGGGGAGACGCUCACGAAGGUGCAUAGUGAGAAGAGUAAGUCAAGAGAUAGACUUGUUCAAAAAGAAACGUAAGAGAAUGCUUUUGGGGUUACACUCACGAAGGUGCAUAAGGAGAAGAGUAAGUCAAGAGACAGUACUUGUUCAAAAAGAAACAAAAGAGAAUGCUUGGGGAGAUAGAAAGUGUGAGAUAGUUCUCAAGCUAAGAAAGUUGUAAAAGCUAAGAAACUAGGAGUGGUCGAGGAUUUGUCGACCAGGAGUUGAAAUCGUCGAUCGGACCGAGAAUUCGCCGACCGUGACUCAAGCGAAUGCUCGACCAGGGACGAUGAAUGGGCGAUGAAAAUCUACUCGGGUUAGAGGAAUGGUCGACCAGAAGCUGGAAUCGUCGACCGGGUCCGAGAAUUCGUCGACCAGGACGAGGAGUGGUCGAGGAUUUGUCGACCAGAGUUGAAAUCGUCGAC